AUACGGAGGAUCCGAGCGUUAUCCGGAUUUAUUGGGUUUAAAGGGUGCGCAGGCGGGGGAUUAAGUCGGCGGUGAGAUUUUGCAGGUCAACUGUAAAAGUGACUUCGAAACUGGGUUCCUUGAGUGUAGAUGGAGUAGGAGGAAUUUGUGGUGGAGCGGGGGAAUGCAUAGAUAUCACGAGGAACUCCGAUUGCGCAGGCAGCUUACUAAACUACUACUGACGCUCAGGCACGAAGGCGUGGGGAUCAAACAGGAUUAGAUACCCUGGUAGUCCACGCAGUAAACGAUGAUUACUAGCUGUUUGCGAUACAAUGUAAGCGGCUGAGCGAAAGCGUUAAGUAAUCCACCUGGGGAGUACGUUCGCAAGAAUGAAACUCAAAGGAAUUGACGGGG
This 393-nucleotide ribosomal RNA is filed under the name uncultured bacterium. RNAcentral describes it as "partial 16S ribosomal RNA". It matches the Rfam family "Bacterial small subunit ribosomal RNA", at positions 523 to 918 of the family's 1533-position model. The record is from RNAcentral.